GAUGAACGCUGGCGGCGUGCCUAAUACAUGCAAGUCGAGCGAACGGACGAGAAGCUUGCUUCUCUGAUGUUAGCGGCGGACGGGUGAGUAACACGUGGAUAACCUACCUAUAAGACUGGGAUAACUUCGGGAAACCGGAGCUAAUACCGGAUGAUAUUUUGAACCGCAUGGUUCAAAAGUGAAAGACGGUCUUGCUGUCACUUAUAGAUGGAUCCGCGCUGCAUUAGCUAGUUGGUAAGGUAACGGCUUACCAAGGCAACGAUGCAUAGCCGACCUGAGAGGGUGAUCGGCCACACUGGAACUGAGACACGGUCCAGACUCCUACGGGAGGCAGCAGUAGGGAAUCUUCCGCAAUGGGCGAAAGCCUGACGGAGCAACGCCGCGUGAGUGAUGAAGGCCUUCGGAUCGUAAAACUCUGUUAUUAGGGAAGAACAUAUGUGUAAGUAACUGUGCACAUCUUGACGGUACCUAAUCAGAAAGCCACGGCUAACUACGUGCCAGCAGCCGCGGUAAUACGUAGGUGGCAAGCGUUAUCCGGAAUUAUUGGGCGUAAAGCGCGCGUAGCGGUUUUUUAAGUCUGAUGUGAAAGCCCACGGCUCAACCGUGGAGGGUCAUUGGAAACUGGAAAACUUGAGUGCAGAAGAGGAAAGUGGAAUUCCAUGUGUAGCGGUGAAAUGCGCAGAGAUAUGGAGGAACACCAGUGGCGAAGGCGACUUUCUGGUCUGUAACUGACGCUGAUGUGCGAAAGCGUGGGGAUCAAACAGGAUUAGAUACCCUGGUAGUCCACGCCGUAAACGAUGAGUGCUAAGUGUUAGGGGGUUUCCGCCCCUUAGUGCUGCAGCUAACGCAUUAAGCACUCCGCCUGGGGAGUACGACCGCAAGGUUGAAACUCAAAGGAAUUGACGGGGACCCGCACAAGCGGUGGAGCAUGUGGUUUAAUUCGAAGCAACGCGAAGAACCUUACCAAAUCUUGACAUCCUUUGACAACUCUAGAGAUAGAGCCUUCCCCUUCGGGGGACAAAGUGACAGGUGGUGCAUGGUUGUCGUCAGCUCGUGUCGUGAGAUGUUGGGUUAAGUCCCGCAACGAGCGCAACCCUUAAGCUUAGUUGCCAUCAUUAAGUUGGGCACUCUAAGUUGACUGCCGGUGACAAACCGGAGGAAGGUGGGGAUGACGUCAAAUCAUCAUGCCCCUUAUGAUUUGGGCUACACACGUGCUACAAUGGACAAUACAAAGGGCAGCGAAACCGCGAGGUCAAGCAAAUCCCAUAAAGUUGUUCUCAGUUCGGAUUGUAGUCUGUAACUCGACUACAUGAAGCUGGAAUCGCUAGUAAUCGUAGAUCAGCAUGCUACGGUGAAUACGUUCCCGGGUCU
RNAcentral lists this ribosomal RNA (1371 nucleotides) under uncultured bacterium. RNAcentral describes it as "bacterial SSU rRNA". It matches the Rfam family "Bacterial small subunit ribosomal RNA", at positions 28 to 1381 of the family's 1533-position model. The record is from RNAcentral.